CAACCCUCAAGCUCUGCUUGGUAUUGGACAUAUCACCGCUCUAUGGUGGGUCUUAAAAUCUGUGGCGGUGCCAUUUGGCUUCAAGCGUAGUAAUACUUUUCGCUCUGGGGUCAGGUGGACUCUUGCCAACAAACCCUCACUUCAAU
This 146-nucleotide unclassified non-coding RNA is filed under the name uncultured Leotiomycetes. RNAcentral's name for it is "sequence contains ITS2". The record is from RNAcentral. Lineage: Eukaryota; Fungi; Ascomycota; Leotiomycetes.